This 477-nucleotide long non-coding RNA is filed under the name Citrus maxima (pomelo). RNAcentral's name for it is "long non-coding RNA (CMAX_LNC000842)". The record is from RNAcentral. Lineage: Eukaryota; Viridiplantae; Streptophyta; Magnoliopsida; Sapindales; Rutaceae.
AAUGCAGUGGCAACCGAGGACUUGAUAGUCAAAGGCGGCAAAGUUGGUGGUGUGGUGACCAACUGGGCGUUGGUGUCAAUGAAUCACGAUACACAGUCUUGCAUGGACCCCAAUGUAAUGGAAGCGAAGGUGGUUGUGAGCUCUUGUGGCCAUGAUGGGCCUUUUGGGGCCACUGGAGUAAAGAGGUUGAAGAGUAUCGGAAUGAUCGAGGAAGUGCCUGGAAUGAAGGCACUGGACAUGAACUCUGCAGAAGAUGCUAUUGUGAGGCUGACCAGGGAGGUUGUGCCUGGUAUGAUAGUUACCGGCAUGGAAGUUGCCGAGAUUGAUGGUGCUCCUAGAAUGGUACAUAUGCUUACGACUCUGUUUCUUAGCAGCCUUAGAUUAAGAAAGUUGCUGCUCUUCAAUCUCAAAACGGUUUCUUUUAUACUGUUUUAUAAUGUUUACAAGUAAGUAGCAAAUGUAAUAAUCUGAAUGCAG